GCUCGUAUAGCUCAGAGGUAGAGCACUCCCUUGGUAAGGGAGAGGUCGCGGGUUCAAUUCCCACUAUGAGCUCCA
RNAcentral lists this transfer RNA (75 nucleotides) under Campylobacter jejuni. RNAcentral describes it as "tRNA-Thr". It matches the Rfam family "tRNA". From Rfam's summary of the family: Transfer RNA (tRNA) molecules are approximately 80 nucleotides in length. Their secondary structure includes four short double-helical elements and three loops (D, anti-codon, and T loops). Lineage: Bacteria; Pseudomonadati; Campylobacterota; Epsilonproteobacteria; Campylobacterales; Campylobacteraceae. The record is from RNAcentral.